UGGUUGUUCCAGUCUGCUGGGUAAAAAAUGAUGUUCUUAUGUGGCCGAACCUUUUGGCAAAUGACAAGAUUGAAGAGCUCAGGACUCAGGAAGCUAAAUAUAACGGUACUACAGAAAAGAUUCCUGUCAUUGUGUCGAGAAGAUUCAAAAAUCUGACGAGUGCAGAGGCUGUUGCAGAGGCGCUGGCUCAAUAGGAUGUGUCAGAUGUGGAUGGAAAAAAGAAAUUUCUUAAGCCUGCUAAGAAAAGUAAACCAGUUGGCUUCUCAACAACAAACAAACGGAAAACAAACGUUUUCCAGAGGUCGCAUCUGGCAGCCGAACGAAGUCGGCACAACUGGUCCAACAAACGAAGCAGAAAACUUCAAGGCGAUCAAUUUCGGAUCAUUGUUCUCUCAAUGCAACAGUAAACGAUGCACCGAAAGCUAGUUAUGACCAAAACGCCCAGGAAUUUCCACUAACAAACCCGAGUGACAUAAUUUACAGCAACACAUACAUAUCGGAACUUAAGGCCAAUCCUGGGGAAGAAACAUCCAAUUUUAAUUGAUACUGUAGGUGCUGACCAGAUACAUGUUUUAGAACAGGUGUACACUGCUAACGGUGGGAUUUACUACGCUGAUGGCACGACGGAAUUCGCAGCAACUUCAACAUUUUUCGAUCGUAUGGAUUCAUUGUAGCAUGAACUCAACAAACUCGUUCAAACAACAAUCGAAGCUACUGUUGAAAGAAGCUUCUGGGAGAAUUUUGCCCGGCUUACACCUCUUUUUGAAUUGGGAGAUAGGUCGACUCUAGCAAGUGCUAAUGAAGAAACCCUGGCGGAAAAUCAUACACUCAUAACAGACGAAAAUGAACUUAU
Topomyia yanbarensis is the source of this 853-nucleotide long non-coding RNA. RefSeq lists it as uncharacterized. The transcript is spliced from 4 exons. Lineage: Eukaryota; Metazoa; Arthropoda; Insecta; Diptera; Culicidae. The record is from RefSeq and is a predicted model, not a curated record.